ACUUAAAAAGGACACGUUCGCAACAGAGGUCAUAUUUGCUAAGUCCGGGGUAGAUGCUCUUACUAGCUACUGUGCCGGGAAGAAUCUUGCCAAAAUGGACCAAAAAACAAGCGAGAUUGCGAGUUUCCGACAGCGCCAGAACAUUGACCAUGAACUUUUCUACUAGUUCCACAGUUUCACCGAGAGGAAGCGGCAUUUGGAGGAAGAGAAGCAUCACCUUUCCAUGCUCAAGAUGAGAAUGGAAGCAACCAUGAUGAGGAGAGGACAUGCACCGGUGAGAAACGAGUCCGGCCGCAUGCUUAAUUUCUCUUUCCCUUGCUUGCCCUAGCUGGGUGGAUGCGGAAUUAACUCCAUC
This 355-nucleotide long non-coding RNA is filed under the name Hordeum vulgare. RNAcentral describes it as "long non-coding RNA (HVUL_LNC000784)". The record is from RNAcentral. Lineage: Eukaryota; Viridiplantae; Streptophyta; Magnoliopsida; Poales; Poaceae.